This 439-nucleotide unclassified non-coding RNA is filed under the name Hevea brasiliensis (rubber tree). Lineage: Eukaryota; Viridiplantae; Streptophyta; Magnoliopsida; Malpighiales; Euphorbiaceae. The record is from RNAcentral.
AAGGCCUGAGCAGUGAGAUUUUGAACCAGUAGACGAUGAUCAAAAGGAAGAUGAACGCUGGCCUUAAUUGCAAUGAUAUUUAUGCUUGACUCCCCAUCAUUCUUGAGUCCAACGAGUAGUUCAGUAUCUUCACCAGCUGGCACCAAACGUGCAUGUUUUUUUGGGAAAACACAGACUGUAUCAACUCCCGGAGCAGGGCUAAAACUUCCAUCACCAAAAUAUUGGGCAUCUUCGCCAACAAUACCAAGAUCGCUGACUUCUUCAGCAGCCUCGGUGACUUCUGCAUCAGAAUCUGACUGACACCUAGUCACUUGAAAGAGAGGAGAAGCGAGGAGGAGGAGAGCGAAGAAGAAAGCCCUAACAUUGUUCAUUUUCGCCAUGCGUAAGGCAGCUUAGUUGGUGGUUGAGAGCAACACGACGCCAAAUACAUAAAUCGAAG